Erinaceus europaeus (western European hedgehog) is the source of this 590-nucleotide long non-coding RNA. RefSeq lists it as uncharacterized. The record is from RefSeq and is a predicted model, not a curated record. NCBI's taxonomy places the organism in Eukaryota, Metazoa, Chordata, Mammalia, Eulipotyphla, Erinaceidae. The transcript has 2 exons.
UUGAGGAGUUGCUGGAAUGAUCUAAUGGAACACAAUUUAUGAAUAUACUUUAGAAGAUACUAAGAACCCGAGCAGGAGCUAGCAACCAGUGUAAUGACAGAGAAUUGUCUACAGCAGGUGGAAGACAUAUAUUUAGUGGCAGGACAAAGAUUCUGUUUUCAAACAAAUGUGGUCAUUAGCUGCUGUGCACCAGAGAAACAUAUGGCAUGUUUAAUUUCAGCAGAAUCAUUCCUGAAGAAAGUGGCUACAUCCCUGUGAGAAGUCAAGCCACUUUCAGUUCAACGAGGAAAGCUAAUGAGGAGCCCCACAUGAUCAGUUGAAGGGUUACAGACUGGGCAGAGCUCUCACCAAAUCACAUGGAACCAAGGGUGCACCUCGGUUUAUGUCACAUCAGCGAAGAACUUCCGAGAGUCAUGAUUCUCCUUGCAGAGUAUCUUCAACCCAUUUGUAUUACUCCUGAAAUAGCCCAAGUUCCACUCAGUGUUUUCCUUCUCCAGGAUUGGGGAGCUUGGUGAAGACCCAUAGUUACAGAAACAAAAACCACCUACCCUGAAAAGAUCACUAUUUUACAUUAUACUUUGUAGAACUGA